Molecule: long non-coding RNA, 733 nt
Organism: Triticum aestivum (bread wheat)
Lineage: Eukaryota; Viridiplantae; Streptophyta; Magnoliopsida; Poales; Poaceae
Exons: 2
Source: RefSeq, a predicted model, not a curated record
UUUAGCUAUCUUUGUUUCUCUCCGACGAAAUCAAAAGGUAUACCAAAUUUACUAGAUUGGACGCAUUAUCAAUUAUCAAUAGCACAACGAGCCAUUGCGUCCGUUGGGUCCUCUCCUCUCCGCGCAUCAAUUUUCUACAUGGAGUGUUGGCCUGCGUCAUGAUCAGAACUGUCGAGACGCAAGAACUGUCAAGUGGCUACUCUCUAGCACCACGGCUGUUGUGACAACUGACGACAUAUGGUCGACACAUGCCUAUUUCUGGUGCGGCGCCGACGAAGACAGCAUAACUGAUAGCUGACUGCCACGGCCGACGGCAUCGCCGUCCACCGGUCCACGGCUGCUGUCUGUCUUCUCCGAAACGGCGACAACAAAUUAAAACAACGUGACCGAUGGGUGAUUACCAUGAUACGGUGGCAACGACGACAACGGCAAGUCGGCAACCAUGGCUGCUGCGCAUUGCAGAUGCCUGCCUGUUCCGGUACGGCGGCGACGAAGAACAUGUGGCUGCACGUAGAAGAAUGACGUCGGCCUCGGCAACGAAGACAACAUGUGGCUGCACGUAGAAGAAUGACGUCGGUGGUGGCGACGAUGUACGUUUGAGGACAUGGUCGCAUCAUGGUUUGAAAGAAGUUGUGUACGAUCGUCCAAAUCUUAGCUUCAGGAAUCAGUGAAAUGAUAGAUAAACUACUUGUACUGUUGUACCCUAUAAAUGUGAUACAUACUCCAUACUCCA